RNAcentral lists this unclassified non-coding RNA (975 nucleotides) under Zea mays. RNAcentral's name for it is "misc RNA Zm00001eb148230". The record is from RNAcentral. Lineage: Eukaryota; Viridiplantae; Streptophyta; Magnoliopsida; Poales; Poaceae.
AUGCUAUGCGCUUCCUCCACAUACAAGACCACCGCAGAUCAAAACACACAUCUCUCUCACUCACUCACUCGCCUCACUCCACUGGACAUCCAUCCAUGGAGCUCUUCGCAGCAGCAGCAUCAGCCGAGGAUCAGAAGCCGUGCAGCAGCAGGCUGUUCAGCAGGAAGAGGAGCGGCGGCAAGGCGGGCAUGGGCGUGCGCGGCGCCGACAAGGGCCGGUCGUCCUUCUCCGGGCGGUGCGCGCGGCUCGUCAAGGAGCAGCGCGCGCGGUUCUACAUCAUGCGCCGCUGCGUCACGAUGCUGGUGUGCUGGCGCGAGUACGCCUGACGCCUGAGCCCUCGGUGUCCCUGAUGCAAUGGCGCCGGACAUGAUGCGGAGCCGCAUGCAGGACGCGAGCAGCAAGCCGAGGGGAGAGGAGGAGGAGGAGGGGAAGCCGCCGCCGCCGCCGAGCAGGUCAAGAGACGCUCGAUCCGCCUCCGCGGUCUUAAUUAGGGAACCACGAACGAACCUUGUGUAAAGAGAAGAUUAUUAUUUUUUUUAUUAUUUUCUCUCCUGCUUUAAUGCUCUCGUAGUCUUGUUCCUUUAGCACCUCGAUCGAGCCUUACGUUCUUCCUUCCGUUCGGUGCGGGGCGGAGAUUUGCAGUCUCACGGCGCUUCUGCUGUUCCAAUGUAACGUGAGCAUCUCUAGUAUACAGGAACUGGAGCUGUAGCUGUAGUUUAGCUAGUUGCUUUGCUUGGCGGUGCUGUGGCGUCUGCGCCCCCUUGCCUUGGCGCGGUGCGUGAGAGCCGUCCUCAUCGCGCAUCGGAGUGCGAUUCGACUGCUGCUCCUCUUGCUACUAUUUGUUUACAUUUUCCUCCCCUCCACUGUGUAAUCCGUAAUCCUGAAAAGGCGGCCAGAAAGAAAAAAAACACCGCUAGUUCUCGCUGCCAAAUGCAUGUGCCGGACGACCCGGAUCAGCGUUCGUCACUGACCGUA